GGGGGCACCGCCAGCGGCCGGGCGGGGCGGGGGAGCACGGGCCCUCCCACACAGAAAAAUGAAGGCAAGGAUGACUUUCACAGGAUUCAACCUGUCAUAUAUGAAAUGGAGUGUUGGCCUUUGCAUAUUAAGUGUUUCAACUUUUAAUUGUUAAUUGUUUAAUUAUUGCUUAUUCAAAUUACCCAUCACCCCAGUUGAGAGUUAUUAAGUUUCAAAGUUAUUCCCCAGAUUAAUUGAUUAAAGAGUGUUUUACAUAAUUCCUCAUUUAAAAUCCCUUGUUAAUAAAGUUCCACAAGUUUGUUCCCCUCUUUAGUCCCUAAAAAGUGUAAAAACCCACAAUGUCUUAAUUCCUGUAUGUGUCCAAGUUAAUUACCCUGUUUUUAAGAGUUCUCUGAAAUACUUAUAGCCCAGUUUUAGACCUUUUACCAAGUGUUCUUAACCUUUGUAAGUUUUGAGUGAGUUUUGAGCUUUGCCAAAAAGCAGACCACCUAACUGACAGGGAGCUAUCUUUAGAACCGGGCCCUUGGCCUGCAACUCAGCACCACGGCAACCUGGGAUGUUAAUGAGGACUUUUCCCGCCCUUGGAGCCGAUGACAUUUUUCCCCGAGACAGCAGCGAGCCAUUGGCAGCCUGAGAUUGCCUCACCUCAAGACACCACCAAUCGUCCAGGACCAUGGGGGCUGGGCAGUGGGCGGUCAUGGGCGGGACCCAGACUCUAUAAAACUGCUGGACACCCGCUCAGAGGUGCCAUUUUCACCUCACAUUAAGUACUGGGGAGGCUCGGUGCUGGGAGCACAGGCCUCUACCUCUUUCAAAAGGCAAUUUAACCAUUCGGACUUUGGGCUAGCUGAAGUCACCCCAGCAUUGUAAGGUCUCUGCCUUGGGACUUCUGAGCCGCUUCGGCCAGCAAGGUCUCUAAUCACUGCAGACCCGGGGUUUUUUUUGGCUUUAUAAUUCUUUUGUACUUGCAAUUUUUUUUUGCUGAUUGUUCUUAAUUAUUUUAAUUAAGAACCAAGAGUUGUCUCAUUCCUCACAAACCAAAAGUUCUAAAUAACUUAAUAUUAAUUUUUGAGAUUCAGUUAGCGUAAUAAAGCUACAACUUCUGACUUUUUCAUCAUCUAAUCACAAACCCAAAGAUUUUACAUAUGAAAUUAUGUAAGUUUUUCAUAGCUAAAGUUUAAGAGGUGUAUUUUUAUAUCGAGUAUAAGUUACAGAGCUAUCAUGUCAACACAAACCAAAUGGAGAUUUUCAUCUUAAACAUUAGGGAUAAAAAAUGGAGUUCAAAGUAAGUUGUUUAUCUAUGACCAAGUUCACCUAUGACCAAGUUCACCUGUCUAGAUAUCUCCCACAGACAGCAAUGAUUUUAUAGACAACAUGAAGGAUAUCUAGGAAUAAAUAAUAUUUUAAAUUUGGAAAACCAGUAAUGUAAUAACUUUCUAUAAUUACUUUUAACAAUAACAUACAACAGUAAUACUAGUAAUUUUCUGAAGCAACUAGUUGUAUUGAAACACUGUCAAGAGAGGAGACAUUUUAAAACAUUAGCUGGGGAAAAAAACCAGUUCUGAAUUAUCAGGGACACAGAACUGCCAGAUUGUUUUCUUGUUUAGAUUUUUUUUGUUUGUUUUUAUUUCUUCAGAAAUCUAUGUAAGAUAGAACCUGCUGUCUCAUUAAAAGCUUUGAAAUAUUUAUCAGCUAACAAAUAUUUAACCCCUCUAUUUAUCAUAUCUAAUGGAAACUCAUAUUGCAAAUGGUAACUUUUUCACCAUUAUUUGAAUUUCCCUGGUACUUUUAAUUAGCUUUCUUAUAGGCUUUUCACCUUUCUAAAGCCAUCACCUCAAAAGGUACAAAAAUAUAUUAUCAAAAAAAAGGGUAAGUUGAGUUGUAACUUUUGUAUAGUCAAAGUAUUCUUUCUCAUAUUCUUCUUUCAUUCCAUAUAAAUAUUUAAUCAGUGUAUAUUUAUGUCGCAACAGAAAGCAAUAAAGAAAACAAGAAAAAAGCUGCUGCCAGGAAACAUGCUUAUUUUUUCCGUAUAUCACAAAUUAAAACAGACUAUAAGAGCGUGAAGCAUUCAAAAAGAAAUGUGCAAAACAAGUCUGUGAAAAAAUGUGUGUCCGCUCAUAAAGGUAAGGCUACACUGGAUCUGUCUGUCCCCAAAUGACCUUAUUUUUCCUCAAGGUCCCCAGCUUUUCGAAGUCCACACUGAUGUUUACAGGGGUUGUCUAGGCAACCAGAUAAAACAGAGAUUUAAAGGGUCCUGCCCUGUCUGUGCUGUGGACUCCAAACUCACCUCAAGGAAAGGAGUCCUACCUGUGGAGAAAUACAGCCUGGGGCAGGAGAAUCCUCCAAAUUUUAGCAAAUCCUUUGCUACAACUGUUUGUUAUAGCAAAGAAACAAAAGACUACUACAAUUAUGCUUUACAUAGACAUGGUGAGUUUUGAUUCAGACUAUGGAUUGUAAUUUUUUUGACUGUAAAUUUACAUUUCCUUAUGAUCUCAUGGGAUUUUUAUGUCCAAGAAGUGACAGUGACGACAUUAUUGAGUGACUAUGAUGAAUUAUUUCAAUUAUUGUAGAAAACAGAGACCCCAUUCAAAAUUAGGUCUCCAUUGUGAUGCAGCUGUACAAACAUAUAUUAAAAGCCUGUGUCUGGACCAGAAGUCUGCAAAUUACUCCACUCAGAGUCAUCAGGAAAAAUACAGCAGCACACAUGGAGCACACACAGGGAGGGAUGAACCUGGACAGUGUGUGUAUUGCCAAGAUUUUAACAAACUCAAAGUUUCUCCUAAUCAUAAGCAACACUUUUUCUCUCCAAAUGAGAUAGGUUAGCAUCUCCUCCUAUUUUCUUUCUUAAAAGGCCAUAGCGCAUAUUUUCCUGUUGCAUGAGGCAAGUUCUACAAUUCUUCCACAAUUAUUUUAUCUUUUCUCCUUUCUUCUCACAUGUGUGUGCUCCAAUUCUCCUUUUCUUCUCUCUACCAUUUUCAAAUGUUCUCUUCUGUCCUGCAGUAUUUCAUUCCUUCACCAUGCUCUCCAUGGCAGGGUGAAGCUUCCCCUCGCCAAGGGAUCCUGCUGCUCUGCUUGUACUUCCUCCAGCCUUUCUCCUCCCUCCUUCUUUGAAAUCCCAGCUGCCAUGGAAAUCCUUCUCUCCAACACUACUGAACUUUCAGAAGCCUUUUACUUCUAACUGUCUAACUGUAAAGCUUGUGGAUGAAAAAGCACUCUAUAAAUGAGAUUUAGCUUUCUGGCUUGUAAGUGUGAAGAAAAGGCACUGCAGACAUAUGAUUGAAGAACAUCUACUGAAACCCUCUGAGCCUGGAAUGACUCCUCAUUCAUGGCACUAGCAAAAAAAAAAAAAAAAAAAGAAAAAAAAAUACCCUGAGAAGAAAUUGAAGCAUUUAAAGACUCAUACUCUGGAAAUACCAGAAACUACUGGAAAAGAAGGCAAGAACACUUCAGUGUACAUCUGGAAGCAGUAAGUGUUAUUUAAAAGCAAGUCUAUCAGAAGGAGGUUUUCCUUCUGAAAAUAGCAAGUGCUGAUGCACUUGGCAUAUUUAACACUUCUCGGCAAUCCAAGAAAAGGAGGAUAUUCAUAGAGCUGUUACAAAAAAAAUGAGGCAUAUUGCAUUCUAAAUAAAAAUGAAGCAUAUUGACAUUA
This is a long non-coding RNA of Corvus hawaiiensis (hawaiian crow), 3649 nucleotides long. RefSeq lists it as uncharacterized. NCBI's taxonomy places the organism in Eukaryota, Metazoa, Chordata, Aves, Passeriformes, Corvidae. The record is from RefSeq and is a predicted model, not a curated record. The transcript is spliced from 3 exons.